GGGGCAUUAGCUCAGUUGGUAGAGCGCUUGCAUGGCAUGCAAGAGGUCAGCGGUUCGAACCCGCUAUGCUCCACCA
This 76-nucleotide transfer RNA is filed under the name Prosthecobacter debontii. Its description in RNAcentral is "tRNA_Ala_GGC". It matches the Rfam family "tRNA". Rfam says of the family: Transfer RNA (tRNA) molecules are approximately 80 nucleotides in length. Their secondary structure includes four short double-helical elements and three loops (D, anti-codon, and T loops). The record is from RNAcentral. Lineage: Bacteria; Pseudomonadati; Verrucomicrobiota; Verrucomicrobiia; Verrucomicrobiales; Verrucomicrobiaceae. RNAcentral also lists the same sequence under 2 other names.